UGGGGAAUCUUGGACAAUGGGCGAAAGCCUGAUGGAGCAACGCCGCGUGUGUGAUGAAGGGUUUCGGCUCGUAAAACACUGUUGUAAGAGAAGAAUGACAUUGAGAGUAACUGUUCAAUGUGUGACGGUAUCUUACCAGAAAGGAACGGCUAAAUACGUGCCAG
This 164-nucleotide ribosomal RNA is filed under the name uncultured bacterium. RNAcentral describes it as "partial 16S rRNA". It matches the Rfam family "Bacterial small subunit ribosomal RNA", at positions 355 to 511 of the family's 1533-position model. The record is from RNAcentral.